AGCCAGCACCACGUUCACCCUCCCUUGGCACCCAUCCACAUCCUGGCUCCACCAGCCAGGGUGCUCUCCCCCAGAGCCAGUGGGUGGGAUCUGGAAACUGCCUGCCCAGCAGACGGACAGUGGGAAUGGAGGAGGCGGGACCCAGCCACAAAGAUCAUUGCCACCGAGGAGAGCAGGGGAGCAACCUCCUGGCUGGCAGGGAUGACGGUCACCCUCACAUCACCACACACACUGAGCAAACAAGGAGGCGGAUGCUGAGAGGCAAAGGAGCUGAGAGCAGACGACAAGUGAGUGGGCAGGGAUUCUCCCAAGGACUUGGGUUCCAGAGCCAGGCUUUGAAGUCCGGUCGGCUGAGCACCAACUACGUGCUGGAUGCUGUUGUGGGCACUGGGGAUGCCGUGAAGCACCAGAUCAAAACACUAGGCCACCUCUGAACGCUGGGACAGUGCGGCACGAACCUUCAGCUGAGGGGAUUCCUAGGGGCUCAGAGGGAGAAAGGCCCGACAAGCCACCUGUUCCAGCCUUCUCAAUGCUGUAUCCUCUCUACCACACCCCGGGGAGUGGUACUCUCUCUAGGACAGGAGGCUCACUACCUCGUAAGAGGAACCAUUCCAGAAUAGGCAAUGCUAACAGAAAGGCCCUCCCUAAGCCAAACCGACAUCCUCCUCAUUUCUUCUGCCCUCUGAGACACCCCCAUGAAAUAUCCCAUCACCUAUGACUCCUCUUCACCUACAGCCCUUCAAAUACUUUGUGUUACCCUUAAAUCUUCUCUUCUUAAAGAGUAUAUUUCCUCAGAUUUUAAACCAUUCCUCAGACACUGCCUGGCCUUGCUCUGGCUUGUCAAUGCCCCCAAGGCCUGCUGCUCGGACCGCUGUCCAAAAAUGACCAAGUGACCAUCGAGGACAUGCAGGACGGAAUGUCACCCUGACCUCAAGUUCUGCCUCACCUCAGCCUGGGGAUGGAUGGCAAAGGCCCGGGCAGGAGGAGCCACACGGGUGGAGGGUGAGGACAGUCACAAAGAAAGGAGACACCAGUGUAGACAAGAGCUGUCAGUAAAGGCUUCGUGGAAGAGCCAAUGAAACCUUCCACCACAGAAUUAAAGGUAAGUCACCAUCUCCUGCCAGCAGUGACAAAUGCAUCCCUUUCACAUGGCUUCUCUCAAGAAGACCUACGCACGCUCCAUAAGCCCGGGAAAAGAUGCUCCACACCAUUAGUCAUCAGAGAAAUGCAAAUCAAAGCCCCAGGGAGAAGCCACUUCACAUCCACAAACACGGCUGCCAUUAAAAAGCCAGACAGACAGUGCUGGUGAGGACGUGGGGAACUGCACACACUGCUGGUGGGAAUGCAAAAUGGCACAAAUCUGCUUUACAAAAUAGCUCAGCAGUUUCUUAAAAAGCCUAUUCACCCGUGAUCUAGCAAUUCUACUCUUCGAUAUCCACCCGCAAGGAAUGAAAACAUCGGUCUGCGUAGACUAUGCAUGAACACUCAGAGCGGUGUUACUCACAUGGCUCAGGAGUGAAAACAACUCACUAGCUUUGUAAUGUUUACUUAAUUCUACUUUCAAGGCUCAAACCCCUUUCCCCACAUACACCCCCUGCUGGGCAA
Callorhinus ursinus (northern fur seal) is the source of this 1605-nucleotide non-coding RNA. The record is from RefSeq and is a predicted model, not a curated record. NCBI's taxonomy places the organism in Eukaryota, Metazoa, Chordata, Mammalia, Carnivora, Otariidae.